GACGAACGCUGGCGGCGUGCUUAACACAUGCAAGUCGAACGGAAAGGCCCUGCUUUUGUGGGGUGCUCGAGUGGCGAACGGGUGAGUAACACGUGAGUAACCUGCCCUUGACUUUGGGAUAACUUCAGGAAACUGGGGCUAAUACCGGAUAGGAGCUCCUGCUGCAUGGUGGGGGUUGGAAAGUUUCGGCGGUUGGGGAUGGACUCGCGGCUUAUCAGCUUGUUGGUGGGGUAGUGGCUUACCAAGGCUUUGACGGGUAGCCGGCCUGGGAGGGUGACCGGCCACAUUGGGACUGGGGUACGGCCCAGACGCAUACGGGAGGCAGGAGUGGGGAAUAUUGCACAAUGGGCGGAAGCAUGAUGCAGCAACGCCGCGUGGGGGAUGACGGCCUUCGGGUUGUAAACCGCUUUCGCCUGUGACGAAGCGUGAGUGACGGUAAUGGGUAAAGAAGCACCGGCUAACUACGU
RNAcentral lists this ribosomal RNA (467 nucleotides) under uncultured bacterium. RNAcentral's name for it is "partial 16S ribosomal RNA". It matches the Rfam family "Bacterial small subunit ribosomal RNA", at positions 28 to 506 of the family's 1533-position model. The record is from RNAcentral.